Molecule: ribosomal RNA, 228 nt
Filed under: Triticum aestivum (bread wheat)
Lineage: Eukaryota; Viridiplantae; Streptophyta; Magnoliopsida; Poales; Poaceae
Description: partial small subunit ribosomal RNA
Source: RNAcentral
AUGGACCAAUCCAUCCCUUUUUCCCGUGCAUAUGCAUCGGACUCGGAUGACGAUGGUCCCGAUGAAGAAGUUGAUGAGGAGGGGUUCACGCCGAAGGAGGCCCAAGCAUUCAAGAAGGUAUUCGGGCGGGAUCACAAGACACCAUUGUUCAAGGAUCUUAGUCUCGAGGAUGAAGCCGUUGUGGAUGGUGGCAAAUGCAUAUCUCUUGGAGCUAGGCCAAGUUCUCAC